This 330-nucleotide ribosomal RNA is filed under the name uncultured eukaryote. Its description in RNAcentral is "SSU rRNA". It matches the Rfam family "Eukaryotic small subunit ribosomal RNA", at positions 592 to 923 of the family's 1831-position model. The record is from RNAcentral.
CAAUAGCGUAUAUUAAAGUUGUUGCAGUUAAAAGCUCGUAGUUGGAUUUCUGUCCGGAGAGACCGGUCGGCGCCUUCGGGCGGUGUGCACUGUCGUCUGCUCCGGACAUCCUUGCGGAGAGUGCGUGUGCCCUAACUGGGUGUGCGUAGGAUCCGCAACGUUUACUGUGAAAAAUUAGAGUGUUUAAAGCAGGCGAUCGCUGUGAAUACAUUAGCAUGGAAUAAUGAGAUAGGACUUUGGUACUAUUUUGUUGGUUUGCGCACCAAGGUAAUGAUUAAUAGGGAUAGUUGGGGGUAGUUCAUAUUCAAUUGUCAGAGGUGAAAUUCUUGG